UACGGAGGGGGCUAGCGUUGUUCGGAAUUACUGGGCGUAAAGAGCGCGUAGGCGGCCUAUCAAGUUGGGAGUGAAAUCCCAGGGCUCAACCCUGGAAUUGCUUUCAAGACUGUUAGGCUUGAGACCGGUAGAGGAUGGUGGAAUUCCUAGUGUAGAGGUGAAAUUCGUAGAUAUUAGGAGGAACACCAGUGGCGAAGGCGGCCAUCUGGGCCGGUUCUGACGCUGAGGCGCGAAAGCGUGGGGAGCAAACAGG
RNAcentral lists this unclassified non-coding RNA (253 nucleotides) under uncultured Alphaproteobacteria bacterium. Its description in RNAcentral is "contains 16S-23S intergenic spacer region". It matches the Rfam family "Bacterial small subunit ribosomal RNA", at positions 524 to 776 of the family's 1533-position model. The record is from RNAcentral. Lineage: Bacteria; Pseudomonadati; Pseudomonadota; Alphaproteobacteria.